AGGAUGAGAGCCAGUUAGAAUAGCCAAGGAGACUGCCUACAAACCACACAAAGAUUUUGAUUGCAAUGCUGGAGAUCUUGAAAAGGCCAUAGGCAAGUCAUCCUUGGCUAUCAAAGACAGGGUCUUAUCU
This is a non-coding RNA of Musa acuminata subsp. malaccensis (wild Malaysian banana), 130 nucleotides long. The record is from Rfam. Lineage: Eukaryota; Viridiplantae; Streptophyta; Magnoliopsida; Zingiberales; Musaceae.